This is a non-coding RNA of Peromyscus maniculatus bairdii (prairie deer mouse), 547 nucleotides long. NCBI's taxonomy places the organism in Eukaryota, Metazoa, Chordata, Mammalia, Rodentia, Cricetidae. The record is from RefSeq and is a predicted model, not a curated record.
CCCCGGAAACGGCAAGGAUGGGGCUGGCAGGGCCGCUGGGCUCCCAGAGGCCCAUGAGCUGUGAGACCAGGAUAUAAAGAGAACAAGAAACAGGUCUCCACCCGAGGCAGGAACCUCCCAUGGGCCACAGUGAAGUGGGGCUGAGGAGGGAGCUGGGGACGCUGGCCUUGGUGUCUACCCAUCUGCGUGGAGGUGUUAACCACAUGAGAUAGUGGCCAGUGUUGAGAUCUGCCAAGGGAGCUGUGGAGCUGGCUGUGCCCAUCCUGAGACAUGUGCCCAUCCUGAGACAUGUGCCUACCACCAUCAUGAAUGAACAGAGCUGUUUCCUGAAAGACAAAUGAUGAACUGGGAAGGCUGCCCGCACAUACUCAGGCUCUCUUGGGGAAGCCUCAACCAAAGACAAAAUGUGUGGUUCAGAAUCACGUUGGCAACAGAGCAGACCCUUUCCAGUGUGUCUGAAAGAAAUGAGCUAAGAACUAGUUGUGGUUCUCUGGAGACUUCACCCUGGUUCCUGGAAGUAAAUAUUGUGAAAUUGAAUUUGUGAUAA